GCAAGCCGAGCGGUAGAAGUUCUUCGGGACUUUGAGAGCGGCGUACGGGUGCGGAACACGUGUGCAACCUGCCUUUAUCUGGGGGAUAGCCUUUCGAAAGGAAGAUUAAUACCCCAUAAUAUAUUAGAUGGCAUCAUUUGAUAUUGAAAACUCCGGUGGAUAGAGAUGGGCACGCGCAAGAUUAGAUAGUUGGUGAGGUAACGGCUCACCAAGUCGAUGAUCUUUAGGGGGCCUGAGAGGGUGAUC
RNAcentral lists this ribosomal RNA (246 nucleotides) under uncultured bacterium. RNAcentral describes it as "partial 16S ribosomal RNA". It matches the Rfam family "Bacterial small subunit ribosomal RNA", at positions 57 to 305 of the family's 1533-position model. The record is from RNAcentral.